GCCAAAUAAAUCAUUUUCAUAACAUUCAAACACUGCAUGGAUUUUAUUAUGUAGGCAAAAACCUGUAUUGCUAUGGAUUAAACUGCUCUAAGUUUUCUUAGAGCAGAGCCACCACAUUCAUUCAAUUUAGUUAAACUGCUAGGCCAAGGUAAGAAAAGAAAUUCACAAUGUCAAGACAUGAGGAGUCUGAUUCCAUCCCAUUAACUUUUUUGUCUUCUAAGUUAUAUUCUAUAGUUUCUAUUUUCAUAGGAGUGAUAGGAGGAAAUUUAAGAACAUCUUAAUUUUUCCUAUAAUGGUCUUCUCACCAUCAGGGUCAUUUUUUCCUUAUGUUAUAGGUGAAAUUUAGAAUUACCAGGCAGUUGAAAUGUUUCCUGUUAAUAAUCAGAUUAAUUAGCAAGUAUGUUAAAGUAUGUUAAAAAGUAAUCUGCCUGAAAUCAUCUCUGUAGUUCAAGUGAAUUCUCUUAGUUCAGGUUCCUAGCAGCAACAUUUAGUAGUCGAUGCC
RNAcentral lists this long non-coding RNA (502 nucleotides) under Bos taurus (domestic cattle). Its description in RNAcentral is "long non-coding RNA NONBTAT017151". The record is from RNAcentral. Lineage: Eukaryota; Metazoa; Chordata; Mammalia; Artiodactyla; Bovidae.